AAAGUACUCCCUCCGUCCGGAAAUACUUGUCGUAGAAAUGGAUGAAAAUAGAUGCAUCUAUAACAAAAAUACGUCUAGAUACAUCCAUCUCUUCAACUAGUAUUUCUGGACGGAAGGAGUAGUAU
This is a non-coding RNA of Triticum aestivum (bread wheat), 125 nucleotides long. The record is from Rfam. NCBI's taxonomy places the organism in Eukaryota, Viridiplantae, Streptophyta, Magnoliopsida, Poales, Poaceae.